AACGAACGCUGGCGGCAUGCCUAACACAUGCAAGUCGAACGAGACCUUCGGGUCUAGUGGCGCACGGGUGCGUAACGCGUGGGAAACUGCCCUUAGGUUCGGAAUAACUCUCCGAAAGGGGUGCUAAUACCGGAUAAUGUCUUCGGACCAAAGAUGUAUCGCCUUUGGAUGGGCCCGCGUUGGAUUAGCUAGUUGGUAGGGUAAAAGCCUACCAAGGCGACGAUCCAUAGCUGGUUUGAGAGGAUGAUCAGCCACACUGGGACUGAGACACGGCCCAGACUCCUACGAGAGGCAGCAGUGGGGAAUAUUGGACAAUGGGCGAAAGCCUGAUCCAGCAAUGCCGCGUGAGUGAUGAAGGCCUUAGGGUUGUAAAGCUCUUUUACCCGGGAUGAUAAUGACAGUACCGGGAGAAUAAGCUCCGGCUAACUCCGUG
Molecule: ribosomal RNA, 433 nt
Filed under: uncultured bacterium
Lineage: Bacteria
Description: partial 16S ribosomal RNA
Rfam family: Bacterial small subunit ribosomal RNA
Source: RNAcentral